Molecule: transfer RNA, 90 nt
Filed under: Heliobacteriaceae bacterium
Lineage: Bacteria; Bacillati; Bacillota; Clostridia; Eubacteriales; Heliobacteriaceae
Description: tRNA-Ser
Rfam family: tRNA
About the family: Transfer RNA (tRNA) molecules are approximately 80 nucleotides in length. Their secondary structure includes four short double-helical elements and three loops (D, anti-codon, and T loops).
Source: RNAcentral
GGAGGACUGGCCGAGCGGCUGAAGGCGGCACCCUGCUAAGGUGUUAUGUGGGUCUACCCUGCAUCGAGAGUUCGAAUCUCUCGUCCUCCG